GCUCCCUUAGCAUAGUGGCUAUUGCGUCGGUCUUGUAAACCGAAGGUCCCGGGUUCGACUCCCGGAGGGGGCU
Molecule: transfer RNA, 73 nt
Filed under: Candidatus Woesearchaeota archaeon
Lineage: Archaea; Nanobdellati; Candidatus Woesearchaeota
Description: tRNA-Thr
Rfam family: tRNA
About the family: Transfer RNA (tRNA) molecules are approximately 80 nucleotides in length. Their secondary structure includes four short double-helical elements and three loops (D, anti-codon, and T loops). Further hydrogen bonds mediate the characteristic L-shaped molecular structure. tRNAs have two regions of fundamental functional importance: the anti-codon, which is responsible for specific mRNA codon recognition, and the 3' end, to which the tRNAs corresponding amino acid is attached (by aminoacyl-tRNA synthetases). tRNAs cope with the degeneracy of the genetic code in two manners: having more than one tRNA (with a specific anti-codon) for a particular amino acid; and 'wobble' base-pairing, i.e. permitting non-standard base-pairing at the 3rd anti-codon position.
Source: RNAcentral